Molecule: long non-coding RNA, 1607 nt
Filed under: Pan troglodytes (chimpanzee)
Lineage: Eukaryota; Metazoa; Chordata; Mammalia; Primates; Hominidae
Description: lincRNA
Rfam family: Maternally expressed 3 conserved region 2 (bases 536-640)
Source: RNAcentral
AGCCCCUAGCGCAGACGGCGGAGAGCAGAGAGGGAGCGCGCCUUGGCUCGCUGGCCUUGGCUGCGGCUCCUCGGGAGAGCUGGGGCGCCCACGAGAGGAUCCCUCACCUGGGUCUCUCCUCAGGGAUGACAUCAUCCGUCCACCUCCUUGUCUUCAAGGACCACCUCCUCUCCAUGCUGAGCUGCUGCCAAGGGGCCUGCUGCCCAUCUACACCUCACGAGGGCACUAGGAGCACGGAUUCCUGGAUCCCACCAACAUACAAAGCAGCCACUCACUGACCCCCAGGACCAGGAUGGCAAAGGAUGAAGAGGACCGGAACUGACCAGCCAGCUGUCCCUCUUACCUAAAGACUUAAACCAAUGCCCUAGUGAGGGGGCAUUGGGCAUUAAGCCCUGACCUUUGCUAUGCUCAUACUUUGACUCUAUGAGUACUUUCCUAUAAGUCUUUGCUUGUGUUCACCUGCUAGCAAACUGGAGUGUUUCCCUCCCCAAGGGGGUGUCAGUCUUUGUCGACUGACUCUGUCAUCACCCUUAUGAUGUCCUGAAUGGAAGGAUCCCUUUGGGAAAUUCUCAGGAGGGGGACCUGGGCCAAGGGCUUGGCCAGCAUCCUGCUGGCAACUCCAAGGCCCUGGGUGGGCUUCUGGAAUGAGCAUGCUACUGAAUCACCAAAGGCACGCCCCACCUCUCUGAAGAUCUUCCUAUCCUUUUCUGGGGAAUGGGGUCGAUGAGAGCAACCUCCUAGGGUUGUUGUGAGAAUUAAAUGAGAUAAAAGAGGCCUCAGGCAGGAUCUGGCAUAGAGGAGGUGAUCAGCAAAUGUUUGUUGAAAAGGUUUGACAGGUCAGUCCCUUCCCACCCCUCUUGCUUGUCUUACUUGUCUUAUUUAUUCUCCAACAGCACUCCAGGCAGCCCUUGUCCACGGGCUCUCCUUGCAUCAGGGCUAAUCUCGGGCCUUGUUGAAGGAAGAGGCUGCAGACGUUAAUGAGGUUAGCUGCUGGAUUCCAGUAUUCGUCGCAUAAGGAUCCUUCUUUGUCUGCGAAGGAAAAACACACUGAUUAUCAUAAUGAGGCACGUGGGCCGUGGCCCGGCUGGGUCGGCUGAAGAACUGCGGAUGGAAGCUGCGGAAGAGGCCCUGAUGGGGCCCACCAUCCCGGACCCAAGUCUUCUUCCUGGCGGGCCUCUCGUCUCCUUCCUGGUUUGGGCGGAAGCCAUCACCUGGAUGCCUACGUGGGAAGGGACCUCGAAUGUGGGACCCCAGCCCCUCUCCAGCUCGAAAUCCCUCCACAGCCACGGGGACGCCCUGCACCUAUUCCCACGGGACAGGCUGGACCCAGAGACUCUGGACCCGGGGCCUCCCCUUGAGUAGAGACCCGCCCUCUGACUGAUGGACGCCGCUGACCUGGGGUCAGACCCGUGGGCUGGACCCCUGCCCACCCCGCAGGAACCCUGAGGCCUAGGGGAGCUGUUGAGCCUUCGGUGUCUGCAUGUGGGAAGUGGGCUCCUUCACCUACCUCACAGGGCUGUUGUGAGGGGCGCUGUGAUGCGGUUCCAAAGCACAGGGCUUGGCGCACCCCACUGUGCUCUCAAUAAAUGUGUUUCCUGUCUUAACAA